Molecule: long non-coding RNA, 603 nt
Organism: Zea mays
Lineage: Eukaryota; Viridiplantae; Streptophyta; Magnoliopsida; Poales; Poaceae
Exons: 2
Source: RefSeq, a predicted model, not a curated record
ACCUGCGCUCGGCCAGCUCGCGGUUGUUUGGAUAUGGCUCCGACGCAAACACACGGCGGCGAAUCCAAUCUCAACCAUCGCCGCGCGGAUAUCUCGCCUCCGGACGCGUAUAAAUAUAUCGUCGAUCGCCGCAUAACUCAAUCACGUCCAUGGUGCAAGCACGCUGCAAGUCACGCCAGACACCGGAAACGAGGGAGAACGGAGGGAGGAGUACUGCCGUUGUGGGAUUGCUCGUCUACCAGCAUGGAAGCAUCGGUAAUCGACCAGGGGUGUGUUCUCUGGGACACACGGACGGGGGUCGCACUGUCACCGGGCCAACACGCUGGCCGGAGCCUAACCAAUUUCUCGUCGGACUGCACGGGGCGCCGCUGAACUACCAGUCGCCAUGGCCGACCUCGUCGCAAUGCCAUCACCGGUCAAGAACAGGUACCGCAGGAUGAGGCGCAUGGAGGAUGCUGCGACGAGUUCGUGAGAGGUCUAGGCCGUCGUCUCCCAGUCAACUUUGGGUUGCUGGACCGUUGUCUCCUUAUAAUGUAAUUAUUUAUUUUAUACAGAACUCCUAUUAUGUAGUAAAGUUGUGACAUUCGAUCCUGUGCCAUGAUU